UACGUAGGGGGCAAGCGUUGUCCGGAUUUAUUGGGCGUAAAAGGCUUGUAGGUGGCCACGCCAAGUCGGCUGUGAAAUCUCCCGGCUCAACUGGGAGGGGUCAUUCGAUACUGGCGGGCUCGAGGCCGGUAGGGGGAAGUGGAAUUCCUGGUGUAGCGGUGAAAUGCGCAGAUAUCAGGAGGAACACCGGUGGCGAAGGCGGGUCUCUGGGCCGAUACCGACGCUGAGGAGCGAAAGCGUGGGGAGCGAACAGG
RNAcentral lists this ribosomal RNA (254 nucleotides) under uncultured bacterium. RNAcentral's name for it is "partial 16S ribosomal RNA". It matches the Rfam family "Bacterial small subunit ribosomal RNA", at positions 524 to 776 of the family's 1533-position model. The record is from RNAcentral.